This 460-nucleotide ribosomal RNA is filed under the name uncultured bacterium. RNAcentral describes it as "partial 16S ribosomal RNA". It matches the Rfam family "Bacterial small subunit ribosomal RNA", at positions 338 to 795 of the family's 1533-position model. The record is from RNAcentral.
CCUACGGGGGGCAGCAGUGAGGAAUAUUGGUCAAUGGACGCAAGUCUGAACCAGCCAUGCCGCGUGCAGGAAGACGGCUCCAUGAGUUGUAAACUGCUUUUGUACGAGGGUAAACUCAGAUACGCGUACCUGUCUGAAAGUACCGUACGAAUAAGGAUCGGCUAACUCCGUGCCAGCAGCCGCGGUAAUACGGAGGAUUCAAGCGUUAUCCGGAUUUAUUGGGUUUAAAGGGUGCGUAGGCGGUCGGAUAAGUUAGAGGUGAAAUCCCGAGGCUCAACUUCGGAAUUGCCUCUGAUACUGUUAGGCUAGAGAGUAGUUGCGGUAGGCGGAAUGUAUGGUGUAGCGGUGAAAUGCUUAGAGAUCAUACAGAACACCGAUUGCGAAGGCAGCUUACCAAGCUACUUCUGACGUUGAGGCACGAAAGCGUGGGGAGCAAACAGGAUUAGAUACCCUGGUAGUC